Molecule: long non-coding RNA, 396 nt
Filed under: Arabidopsis lyrata
Lineage: Eukaryota; Viridiplantae; Streptophyta; Magnoliopsida; Brassicales; Brassicaceae
Description: long non-coding RNA (ALYR_LNC000163)
Source: RNAcentral
CAUUUAACCCCUAAAUUUUAUAAGACACUUUAAUAAUUAAACUCAUAAUUCGGGUCAAUCUAGUAAAUUUUCUCUUUCUAUAAUUACAUAUUUAAGAUUCCAAUUUCCAACUUUCAGUUUCAUCUAACGUCUAACUUCGAAGAUGGUUAAGUCAUGCCUAAGCUAACUAGCAAUCAUUAUUCUCAGUAGUCCUACUCAAACAACAAACACUAAUUAAUCUACAGCUUCAUUCUUCGAGCUAAACUAAUGACACUACUUUUCGAUUCUAAGAAAUUUAAAUUUUGAAACAAUUCAUGUUUCUGAUGAGCUCAAACUUUGUUUACCUGAUGAAACCCAGUUUCUGAGAUCAGACUCACCUCGAUCGAGGAAUACAAAAGCUCGAGUAGAUUUAGGAGA